GCCCCUACGGGAGGCAGCAGUGGGGAAUAUUGCACAAUGGGGAAACCCUGAUGCAGCGACGCCGCGUGAGUGAGGAAGUAUUUCGGUAUGUAAAGCUCUAUCAGCAGGGAAGAAAAUGACGGUACCUGACUAAGAAGCCCCGGCUAAAUACGUGCCAGCAGCCGCGGUAAUACGUAUGGUGCAAGCGUUAUCCGGAUUUACUGGGUGUAAAGGGAGCGCAGGCGGCACGGCAAGCCUGAUGUGAAAGCCCGCGGCCCAACCGCGGGACUGCAUUGGGAACUACCGGGCUGGAGUGCCGGAGAGGG
This 305-nucleotide ribosomal RNA is filed under the name uncultured bacterium. Its description in RNAcentral is "bacterial SSU rRNA". It matches the Rfam family "Bacterial small subunit ribosomal RNA", at positions 335 to 658 of the family's 1533-position model. The record is from RNAcentral.